UGGAGAACCGGUUCCCGUAAGAUCACCGAGGUUAAGCAACGCUGAGCAUGGUCAGUUCUUAGAUGGGUGAUUGCUUGCUAAUACCAGGUGCUGUAA
Non-coding RNA from Acanthosepion pharaonis, 96 nucleotides. NCBI's taxonomy places the organism in Eukaryota, Metazoa, Mollusca, Cephalopoda, Sepiida, Sepiidae. The record is from the annotation of a GenBank genome assembly.